UUCCGGUUGAUCCUGCCGGACCCGACUGCUAUCAGAGUGAGAUUAAGCCAUGCGAGUUAACGUAGCAAUACGUGGCGCACGGCUCAGUAACACGUAGUCAACAUGCCCAGAGGACGUGGAUAACCUCGGGAAACUGAGUCUAAACCGCGAUAAGUGAGGAUUUCUGGAAUGGUUCCUGACUAAAAUCUAUAUGGCCUCUGGAUUGGACUGCGGCCGAUCAGGCUGUUGGUGAGGUAAUGGCCCACCAAACCUGUAACCGGUACGGGCUCGGAGAGGAGGAGCCCGGAGAUGGGCACUGAGACAAGGGCCAGGCCCUAUGGGGCGCAGCAGGCGCGAAACCUUCGCAAUGCGCGAAAGCGUGACGAGGUUAAUCCGAGUGACUCCCGCUGAGGGGGUCUUUUGUCAGCUGUAAAUAGGCAGGCGAAUAAGGGGAGGGCAAGCCUGGUGUCAGCCGCCGCGGUAAUACCAGCUCCUCGAGUGGUCGGGACGUUUAUUGGGCCUAAAGCAUCCGUAGCCGGUUCUGCAAGUCUUCCGUUAAAUCCACCUGCUUAACAGAUGGGCUGCGGAGGAUACUACAGAGCUAGGAGGCAGGAGAGGCAAGCGGUACUCAGUGGGUAGGGGUAAAAUCCGUUGAUCCAUUGAAGACCACCAGUGGCGAAGGCGGCUUGCCAGAAUGCGCUCGACGGUGAGGGAUGAAAGCUGGGGGAGCAAACCGGAUUAGAUACCCGGGUAGUCCCAG
RNAcentral lists this ribosomal RNA (739 nucleotides) under uncultured archaeon. RNAcentral describes it as "bacterial SSU rRNA". It matches the Rfam family "Archaeal small subunit ribosomal RNA", at positions 1 to 750 of the family's 1478-position model. The record is from RNAcentral.